AAUAUUUCAUAAUUUUUCAUGGAUAUCAGAGUAUUUAUAGUCAUUAUGUUAUACAGUUGCAUUUCUAGAAUUAUGUCCAAGAAAUUAUGAUAUGAUCAUGUUUAGUUUUUAAAAGUGUUACUAUUUUUCAGAAGUUCUUAGCGAUAAAUAGUGCAAGAAUUUUCAGAAAAUAGUAUAAAUGGAAAAGUUUAUUUAUUUUCAACUAUCCACUCACUGAGUUGUAAACUCAUAUCUUUUUAUUAUGUUUUCCUAUCAGGAGAAGGUCGAUUUUGAGAUACUGGGAAAAAGCCUGCUGAAGCGAAAGAGACAGUUUCAUAAGUAUGUAAUGAAUAUUUGGGAAACUUAUGUUUAUUAAGUAAUUGUCUAAUUUUGGGUGUCAAGCAUAUUUGUAGAAGGGUUUGCAAGUGAUAUAAUACUUGCAUGUUAAUAGGAUGAUGUUGUAAAAACACUCAGUCGAAUUUUGUUAUAUUUUGUAGUAGUUGUGGUAGCAUUAGAGGAAGUGGUGGUUUGCAAAACUUUUGGUUUAAAUGUCUAUUUGAGAUUUUGAUGAUUUUUCAGGUUGGUUUUGUCCAUGUUACAGGGGAAACUCUGUCAAAAUUUUUAUAGAUAUUAGCACAGUUAAAAUAGGUCAAGUUUGCCUUGGUGGUGGGUCCGGUAUUUUGCUGGCAUCUACUACCGGCGCACGACACGUGUCGAGUCAAUUAGGUUGAGUCGGGACGGGUCGUGUCAAU
Molecule: long non-coding RNA, 731 nt
Filed under: Olea europaea (common olive)
Lineage: Eukaryota; Viridiplantae; Streptophyta; Magnoliopsida; Lamiales; Oleaceae
Description: long non-coding RNA (OEUR_LNC008687)
Source: RNAcentral